AACGAACGUUAGCGGCGCGCUUAACACAUGCAAGUCGAGCGAGAAAGGGCUUCGGCCCCGGUAAAGCGGCGCACGGGUGAGUAACACGUAGGUAAUUUGCCCUCGGGUGGUGGAUAACUUUCCGAAAGGAAGGCUAAUACAGCAUGAGACCACGGUUCCGAAAGGGAUUGAGGUCAAAGCCGGCCAAUUCAUGAAAGCUGGUGCCUGAGGAUGAGCCUGCGGCCCAUCAGCUAGUUGGUAGGGUAAUGGCCUACCAAGGCGAAGACGGGUAGCUGGUCUGAGAGGAUGAUCAGCCACACUGGAACUGAGACACGGUCCAGGCUCCUACGGGAGGCAGCAGUGGGGAAUAUUGCGCAAUGGGCGAAAGCCUGACGCAGCCACGCCGCGUGAGCGAUGAAGGUCUUCGGAUCGUAAAGCUCUGUGGGGGGAGAAGAAGAAAGCCGGUGAAGAGCCGGCCCUGACGGUAUCCCCUUAGCAAGCACCGGCUAACUCCGUGCCAGCAGCCGCGG
Molecule: ribosomal RNA, 509 nt
Filed under: uncultured bacterium
Lineage: Bacteria
Description: bacterial SSU rRNA
Rfam family: Bacterial small subunit ribosomal RNA
Source: RNAcentral